This 464-nucleotide ribosomal RNA is filed under the name uncultured Klebsiella sp. RNAcentral describes it as "bacterial SSU rRNA". It matches the Rfam family "Bacterial small subunit ribosomal RNA", at positions 338 to 795 of the family's 1533-position model. The record is from RNAcentral. Lineage: Bacteria; Pseudomonadati; Pseudomonadota; Gammaproteobacteria; Enterobacterales; Enterobacteriaceae.
CCUACGGGGGGCUGCAGUGGGGAAUAUUGCACAAUGGGCGCAAGCCUGAUGCAGCCAUGCCGCGUGUGUGAAGAAGGCCUUCGGGUUGUAAAGCACUUUCAGCGGGGAGGAAGGCGGUGAGGUUAAUAACCUCAUCGAUUGACGUUACCCGCAGAAGAAGCACCGGCUAACUCCGUGCAGCAGCCGCGGUAAUACGGAGGGUGCAAGCGUUAAUCGGAAUUACUGGGCGUAAAGCGCACGCAGGCGGUCUGUCAAGUCGGAUGUGAAAUCCCCGGGCUCAACCUGGGAACUGCAUUCGAAACUGGCAGGCUAGAGUCUUGUAGAGGGGGGUAGAAUUCCAGGUGUAGCGGUGAAAUGCGUAGAGAUCUGGAGGAAUACCGGUGGCGAAGGCGGCCCCCUGGACAAAGACUGACGCUCAGGUGCGAAAGCGUGGGGAGCAAACAGGAUUAGAUACCCCUGUAGUC